Molecule: long non-coding RNA, 2756 nt
Organism: Populus trichocarpa (black cottonwood)
Lineage: Eukaryota; Viridiplantae; Streptophyta; Magnoliopsida; Malpighiales; Salicaceae
Exons: 2
Source: RefSeq, a predicted model, not a curated record
UUGGCCUAAAUUGUAAAAUAAUCUCUGAAUUUUAGUGAAAAAAAACAAAUACCCACAAAAAAUAUCUUGAUUUUUUCAUUGAAUGUAUCUCUUCUAUCAGAUUUCUCAUGAGUAAUUGACGAAAAAGCCCACAACAAACCUUCAAAUUCCUCUCUCUCUUCGACUACAGUGAAAGAAAAACUAGCUCAUCAUCUUCUAUCUUCUUCCCUCAAAUUAAAAAAGAAACACCCAAAAACACUCCGAUCGGGCUGUUGCUGCUGUUGUCGUGCGUGAUGGUCUUCGACGGUGGCUGUUCUAGCAUCGUUUCUGCUCGCAUUGGAGAGAAAAGAGACAGGAAGCUGCUGCUGUGUGCUGUUGUCGCUGGCUAUGAGGAGGAAAGGGCAUAGCUCACGGCGGAGAGAGUUCGUCGUUUCUGGCGACGAGUGAAAGAGGGGCUGCUGGUGCUGCCAACCACCGAUGGAACUACUUCUGUGACUAUGGCUGCCACCCUACAUCUCAAAACCUUAGCCAUGCCAGCUAUGGUGCUACUGUCCAAACCAACCCCUGUUAUAGUGCUCUUGAAAAAACUGACUUUCAAUCCCUAAACUAAUUCAAAGCAUUGCAGCACCCGCUUGAUGUUCUGAACAGAAGAGAGACUUUUUGAGCUGAAAAUAAGUGUGUCGUCAGCAAAUUGAAGACAAGAGAAUCUGAAAUCAUCAGACCCCAGAUAUACCUUCCACUGAGCCCAAAUCACAGCCCUCUUCAAUCAUCUUACCAAGGCCCUCUUCUGCAAUGUUUAACAGAAAAGGAGAUGAAGGGUCACCUUGUCUCAAACCUUUCUCCAUUAAAAAUGCACCGAUACUCUGGCUGUGGAGAUGCACUGCCUAAUCCAACCCCUCCGUUUGUUUUCGAAGCCCAUACAAAGCAUAACUAAAUAAAUAACCUUGGAGCUUGUUCUUCUUAAGAUAGCUGAUUACUUUAUUCGCUAUGAACACACUAUCCAGGACUUGACUUCCUUUGAUAAAGGAAUUCUAGUUCCCUCCAAUAAUCUCAGGCAUCACACCCUUCAGCCGUUUAGCCAAAACCUUUGCUAUGAUUUUAUAUAAGCAGCCAAUCAAACUAGUAGGUCUGAGAUCUUUCAGACAUGUAGCCCCUGCGAGUUUUGGAAUACGUGUUAUGAAGGAGCUGCAUAUACCCUUUGGUAGAUAACCCAAAAAGAAGAAAUCUUCUACCAUGUUAAGAAUGUCCAGACCCACGAAAUCCCAUGCUUUUUCAAUAAAGAAAGAAUUGAUGUCGUCCGGACCAGGAGCUUUAUUUCCGUCGCAUUCCCACAUUGCAGUUUUAAACUCUUCCAUAGAAACUGGAAUUUCCAAAAGGGAAGAUGAGCUAAGACUCAACCUCCUAAAAUUGAUAACAGAGCAUGAAGGCGUGGUUCCUUUGAGCAUCCUUGUAUCGUCUGAUGAGGCCAAACGCAACUUGUCUCUGGCCUUGCGGAGAAUCAGAAGGGCUUGUUUCUUAGAGGAAGGAGGUAAAGUAAUAAGACUAUCAUCAUAAAAUCAUCUUAUUUUGACUUUGAGUGAGAUAAAGUGUAAAUUUAUAGGAGAAGCAAUUCUUGUUUAAUCGUGUUAAUUAAUUCUAAGACAUUAUAACUAUGGACUAACAAACCAUUAAGAUAGCAAAAACACAAACAAAACUAAACUAAAUAUUAAUUAGGAACAAAUUUGAACUCCCAAUACAUUAAAAUACUUAAUGCUGAAAAUUGACAGUCUAGUUAUCCUAGGGAUCUGUGGACAUGUGUAUUGAGGUUUAAAAAAUAGUAUACUAAAUCACGAAGCAAAUCUCUUGAGAGCUUCGAACUGAACAAAUAUAAUUGUUAAAUGCUAAUAAAAGAGUUCAUGUAGUCUUUUCUUGUGUCAAUGCAUGGUAAUGCUAACUUGUGUCGAUCAGGAAGGCAAGAAGCUGUGAAUGGCAUGCCUGCAUGGAAUUAUCUGACAAUAUUAAGAUGAUAAUCAUGAUUGACAUGCGUUAAGAGGGAGAUUAAGAAGAUAAUAACUGGAGGUUUCCAUGUUGAUGAUAAACUAUUACAUUACCAUAUGAUUUUUCAUAUCAGUGAAGCAGUGGUCUUGAAGGAGAUCCUUGCAAGUUCACAGGAUUAUCACCAUAAGCCUGGCAUGAGGAGCAGAAAGAAAAAUGUAGCCAAGAACAACCUGCCAACGGAUUCAUCUCUUCUUAAUUAUGCGUAUAUUGAUGGAAGCAAAAACGAGUCGUCGGCAAGUCAUCCUUGGCUGCAUCAAUCUUUAUGAUCCUCCAUGCAAGGCUGUUACAGUGAGACUACAGCAACUGAAGCAAGAAAAAGGGACACUUUGCUUUGCAGACGUAGAAGGAGAGCUGGGAAGGAUAGGAAGAUAGAGGAGAAAGAUGGGACGAGAUUUUAAGGAAGCUUAGGAGCCUUAAAUACAAAUGAAGGGGCCAUGAGCUGCAAUUUGUGAUAAAAUACACUGCAGUAUUAUUUUGUGCCUAUUUAUCUGCUACCGAGGCAAUUGGGACAGCUCUUGCAAUAGGAUAUAGUUUUGGCCCCAGCCGAAUAAAGUAACAGAGGUCCUUUCUUUCAUUCCUUCGUCGCCAUUGAAUUAGCAAACUAAUCAUGAAUUAAUCUUAUUAGCAAGCAACUAGGCAUUGAUUAAAGAAUGCAUGUUACACGAGGGGUUCUUUAAUUUGUGGAAAAGACUUGUUAUUCCAGUAUGAGAUUUCAGAUUCAAUUCAUGUCAUUUGAUUGA